Molecule: ribosomal RNA, 1411 nt
Filed under: Staphylococcus aureus
Lineage: Bacteria; Bacillati; Bacillota; Bacilli; Caryophanales; Staphylococcaceae
Description: partial 23S ribosomal RNA
Rfam family: Bacterial large subunit ribosomal RNA
Source: RNAcentral
GAUAUGUGAAUACAUAGCAUAUCAGAAGGCACACCCGGAGAACUGAAACAUCUUAGUACCCGGAGGAAGAGAAAGAAAAUUCGAUUCCCUUAGUAGCGGCGAGCGAAACGGGAAGAGCCCAAACCAACAAGCUUGCUUGUUGGGGUUGUAGGACACUCUAUACGGAGUUACAAAGGACGACAUUAGACGAAUCAUCUGGAAAGAUGAAUCAAAGAAGGUAAUAAUCCUGUAGUCGAAAAUGUUGUCUCUCUUGAGUGGAUCCUGAGUACGACGGAGCACGUGAAAUUCCGUCGGAAUCUGGGAGGACCAUCUCCUAAGGCUAAAUACUCUCUAGUGACCGAUAGUGAACCAGUACCGUGAGGGAAAGGUGAAAAGCACCCCGGAAGGGGAGUGAAAUAGAACCUGAAACCGUGUGCUUACAAGUAGUCAGAGCCCGUUAAUGGGUGAUGGCGUGCCUUUUGUAGAAUGAACCGGCGAGUUACGAUUUGAUGCAAGGUUAAGCAGUAAAUGUGGAGCCGUAGCGAAAGCGAGUCUGAAUAGGGCGUUUAGUAUUUGGUCGUAGACCCGAAACCAGGUGAUCUACCCUUGGUCAGGUUGAAGUUCAGGUAACACUGAAUGGAGGACCGAACCGACUUACGUUGAAAAGUGAGCGGAUGAACUGAGGGUAGCGGAGAAAUUCCAAUCGAACCUGGAGAUAGCUGGUUCUCUCCGAAAUAGCUUUAGGGCUAGCCUCAAGUGAUGAUUAUUGGAGGUAGAGCACUGUUUGGACGAGGGGCCCCUCUCGGGUUACCGAAUUCAGACAAACUCCGAAUGCCAAUUAAUUUAACUUGGGAGUCAGAACAUGGGUGAUAAGGUCCGUGUUCGAAAGGGAAACAGCCCAGACCACCAGCUAAGGUCCCAAAAUAUAUGUUAAGUGGAAAAGGAUGUGGCGUUGCCCAGACAACUAGGAUGUUGGCUUAGAAGCAGCCAUCAUUUAAAGAGUGCGUAAUAGCUCACUAGUCGAGUGACACUGCGCCGAAAAUGUACCGGGGCUAAACAUAUUACCGAAGCUGUGGAUUGUCCUUUGGACAAUGGUAGGAGAGCGUUCUAAGGGCGUUGAAGCAUGAUCGUAAGGACAUGUGGAGCGCUUAGAAGUGAGAAUGCCGGUGUGAGUAGCGAAAGACGGGUGAGAAUCCCGUCCACCGAUUGACUAAGGUUUCCAGAGGAAGGCUCGUCCGCUCUGGGUUAGUCGGGUCCUAAGCUGAGGCCGACAGGCGUAGGCGAUGGAUAACAGGUUGAUAUUCCUGUACCACCUAUAAUCGUUUUAAUCGAUGGGGGGACGCAGUAGGAUAGGCGAAGCGUGCGAUUGGAUUGCACGUCUAAGCAGUAAGGCUGAGUAUUAGGCAAAUCCGGUACUCGUUAAGGCUGAGCU